CGCCAGCAGCCGCGGUAAUACGUAGGGGGCGAGCGUUGUCCGGAAUUACUGGGCGUAAAGGGUGCGUAGGCGGCUUGUCAAGUCAGAUGUGAAAUACCCGGGCUUAACCCGGGGGGUGCAUUUGAAACUGGCGAGCUUGAGUGCAGGAGAGGAAAGCGGAAUUCCUAGUGUAGCGGUGAAAUGCAUAGAUAUUAGGAGGAACACCAGUGGCGAAGGCGGCUUUCUGGACUGCAACUGACGUUGAGGCACGAAAGCGUGGGGAGCAAACAGGAUUAGAUACCCUGGUAGUCCACGCUGUAAACGAUGGAUACUAGGUGUAGGGGGUAUCGAACCCCCCUGUGCCGGAGCUAACGCAAUAAGUAUCCCGCCUGGGGAGUACGGCCGCAAGGUUGAAACUUAAAGGAAUUGGCGGGGGAC
This 417-nucleotide ribosomal RNA is filed under the name uncultured bacterium. RNAcentral describes it as "bacterial SSU rRNA". It matches the Rfam family "Bacterial small subunit ribosomal RNA", at positions 506 to 921 of the family's 1533-position model. The record is from RNAcentral.